GGGCCCUGGGGUUAAUCAUAGCGCAAGUGUACACUACUCCGUGGUAUUCGUCGGAAUCUGCAUUUGAUGCUCCCAGCUUCCUGUUCUCUUCCGCUUUAUUUCCAGGUAUACUAGUACUACUGCUAAUCUCGCUGGACUCCACUGUAAAAUAGACCUGGCUGCAUCUCAUUCUGUACUCAUCUCUACACAUGUAGCAAUCAGCACCUGUAAUUUGUAGGCACACUACUACUGCUCAUUGCGGUAGAAUGGUGUGUCAUAGGAGCUCAGCGAGUCAGCAAUUUAGCACGGGUUGACAAAGUAAUUAAGAAUUAAGGCGCCGCGGCGAUGUUCCUGGAUACUAGUAUAUAUCUGUAUACCAGUUCUCAUGUUAAUUCUGUGACGAUCUCUUAUCCAAACUGGAGGUCAACGCUUGUUGGUACUAGUAUGUUUGUGCUCGUCAAAACGCUUUGUUCUAGGCAUGCAUGACGACUC
Molecule: small RNA, 471 nt
Filed under: Histoplasma capsulatum
Lineage: Eukaryota; Fungi; Ascomycota; Eurotiomycetes; Onygenales; Ajellomycetaceae
Also listed under: 1 other name
Description: hypothetical RNA
Source: RNAcentral